UACAGAGGUCUCAAGCGUUGUUCGGAUUCAUUGGGCGUAAAGGGUGCGUAGGCGGCGAGGUAAGUCGGAUGUGAAAUCCCGGGGCUCAACCCCGGAACUGCAUUCGAUACUGCUUUGCUUGAGUACUGGAGAGGAGACUGGAAUUUACGGUGUAGCAGUGAAAUGCGUAGAUAUCGUAAGGAAGACCAGUGGCGAAGGCGAGUCUCUGGACAGUUACUGACGCUGAGGCACGAAGGCCAGGGGAGUAAACGGG
Molecule: ribosomal RNA, 253 nt
Filed under: uncultured bacterium
Lineage: Bacteria
Description: partial 16S ribosomal RNA
Rfam family: Bacterial small subunit ribosomal RNA
Source: RNAcentral